UAGGCGUCUCGAAUUUGGGCUCGAGCCCAUCGGAGCUGUGGGCGUUGAAAUUGGAUCACCUCGUGGUCCACGACUCCUCCUGCAAUCCUGCGUGACCCAGCGGCGCGCCGGUAUCUGAACCAUGAGAUCUCUUCGCAGAAAAGUAAAUGGAGCAUCUCAAAUUAGAAUGUAGCAGAUUUACAAAAGAAAUUUUUUUCAACAAAAAUGAUUCAGGCUCCCUCACCUAUUACUAUUGUUAGGUGCUCUCUCAUCCGAGAUAACGAAGCUGCACAAAAGAAAACGAAUCAAAUCGAAGCUAGAGCAUCUAAACUCCUGCAGCCUCACCUCCGCGGCUGCUG
Molecule: long non-coding RNA, 338 nt
Filed under: Setaria italica (foxtail millet)
Lineage: Eukaryota; Viridiplantae; Streptophyta; Magnoliopsida; Poales; Poaceae
Description: long non-coding RNA (SITA_LNC007222)
Source: RNAcentral